UGGGGGAUAUUGCACAAUGGGGGGAACCCUGAUGCAGCGACGCCGCGUGGGCGAGGGAGCGCCUCGGCGCGUAAAGCCCUUUCGGCGGGGGAGAACGAUGACGGUACCCGACGAAGAAGCACCGGCUAAAUACGUGCC
Molecule: ribosomal RNA, 138 nt
Filed under: uncultured bacterium
Lineage: Bacteria
Description: partial 16S ribosomal RNA
Rfam family: Bacterial small subunit ribosomal RNA
Source: RNAcentral